GACGAACGCUGGCGGCGUGCUUAACACAUGCAAGUCGAACGGAAAGGCCCUGCUUUUGUGGGGUGCUCGAGUGGCGAACGGGUGAGUAACACGUGAGUAACCUGCCCUUGACUUUGGGAUAACUUCAGGAAACUGGGGCUAAUACCGGAUAGGAGCUCCUGCUGCAUGGUGGGGGUUGGAAAGUUUCGGCGGUGGGGGAUGGACUCGCGGCUUAUCAGCUUGUUGGUGGGGUAGGGGCUUACCAAGGCUUUGACGGGUAGCCGGCCUGAGAGGGUGACCGGCCACAUUGGGACUGAGAUACGGACCAGACUCCUACGGGAGGCAGCAGUGGGGAAUAUUGCACAAUGGGCCGAAGCCUGAUGCAGCAACGCCGCGUGCGGGAUGACGGCCUUCGGGUUGUAAACCGCUUUCGCCUGUGACGAAGCGUGAGUGACGGUAAUGGGUAAAGAAGCACCGGCUAACUACGUG
Molecule: ribosomal RNA, 468 nt
Filed under: uncultured bacterium
Lineage: Bacteria
Description: partial 16S ribosomal RNA
Rfam family: Bacterial small subunit ribosomal RNA
Source: RNAcentral